UACGGGGGGAGCAAGCGUUGUUCGGAUUUACUGGGCGUAAAGGGCGCGUAGGCGGUCAGCACAAGUCAGUUGUGAAAUCUCCGGGCUUAACUCGGAAAGGUCAACUGAUACUGUGCGACUAGAGUGCGGAAGGGGCAACUGGAAUUCUCGGUGUAGCGGUGAAAUGCGUAGAUAUCGAGAGGAACACCUGCGGCGAAGGCAGCUCGCUGGAACGUAACUGACGCUGAGACGCGAAAGCGUGGGGAGCAAACAGG
Molecule: ribosomal RNA, 254 nt
Filed under: uncultured bacterium
Lineage: Bacteria
Description: partial 16S ribosomal RNA
Rfam family: Bacterial small subunit ribosomal RNA
Source: RNAcentral